AUAAUAUUUUACUUAAUCAAAGUGAAAAUAGGUUAUAUAAAUCUGUUAAAAAAAAUCAAUUAAUGUCAAAAUUUUAAUCGUGUGAAGUUGUAAUUUUGGUCUUUAAUCAUCGAUGACAAGCUUGUUAGUUGACAGUUGUAUAUUAAACAAACAAUAAAUUGCACGUGUUAUAAUUUCGUUUGGCUAGAUUCCAAAAUAUAUUUGUAUAAAGUUAAAAAGCGAUCACAUUGAGCAUAAAAAAGUACAGAAGAUAAUUUACCAAGAAAUGUAAAAUUAAGACAUCAAUCACUAUGUAUAGCAGAAUAUGGACUCUGUCGGAACUAAACAAAAUUAUCUCUGUAAUUGUCAUACACGUACUCGACUUAUUAUUGUUUCUCGUAUUGUUGCCAUUCAUGACUUGGGAGUGGAUUUCCGAUAGACCAUAUAUAAUAACAAUUGUGAGAACAAUCAUUGAGGUUAUGUUUGAGCUGAUUAUGUGGAUUAUCUUUGCUGGUGUAUCAAUACUUACGACUGUGAUUUUUGUAUUUGAUGAUCUAUAUUGCAGUAAAACUCAGUGUGAUAAUCGAAAAAAAGAUUUACAUAUCGCGCUACAUGAUAAUAACGAUAAAAAUUCUCACAUAGUAAAAUCUUCAAAUUUU
This is a long non-coding RNA of Wasmannia auropunctata (little fire ant), 638 nucleotides long. RefSeq lists it as uncharacterized. The record is from RefSeq and is a predicted model, not a curated record. NCBI's taxonomy places the organism in Eukaryota, Metazoa, Arthropoda, Insecta, Hymenoptera, Formicidae. The transcript is spliced from 4 exons.